GACGAACGCUGGCGGCGUGCUUAACACAUGCAAGUCGAACGGAAAGGCCCUGCUUUUGUUGGGUGCUCGAUUGGCGAACGGGUGAGUAACACGUGAGUAACCUCCCCUUGACUUUGGGAUAACUUCACGAAACUCGGGCUCAUACCCGAUAGGAGCUCUUGCUGCACGUGGGGGAUUGGAAAGUUUCGGCGGUGGUGGAUGGUCUCGCUGGUUACCCGCUUGUUUGGCGGGUAGUGGCUUUCCAGGGUUUUGACGGGUACCCGGCAUGGGAGGGUGACCGGCCACAUUGGGACUGCGAUACGGACCAGAAUCCUACGGGCGGCAGCAGUGGGGAAUAUUGCACAAUGGGCGGAAGCCAGAGGCAGCAGCGCCGCGUGCGGGAUGACGGCCUUCGGGUUGUAAACAGCUUUCGAAUGUGACGAAGCGUGAGUGACGGUAAUGGGUAAGGAAGCAACGGCUAACUACGUG
This 468-nucleotide ribosomal RNA is filed under the name uncultured bacterium. Its description in RNAcentral is "partial 16S ribosomal RNA". It matches the Rfam family "Bacterial small subunit ribosomal RNA", at positions 28 to 507 of the family's 1533-position model. The record is from RNAcentral.